This is a long non-coding RNA of Clupea harengus (Atlantic herring), 1971 nucleotides long. The record is from Ensembl. Lineage: Eukaryota; Metazoa; Chordata; Actinopteri; Clupeiformes; Clupeidae.
ACUCGUCACGUUUGACCCCGCGAGAACACAGAAUGCCCUCGCUGCUUGAACUAAGUCCUACCAGUACGGGUGCUUGUUGGCUCCUGAUGUUGUCUUUAUUUCAAAGGUUAUGUUGAACGCCUUGCUUGUGACUGCAGAAUAGCUUGCCGGCAUGUUUUGCUGGUAUAGUGUACAUGUCUCUGUUGGGCAAUAAUAGCGUGGGAAGCUAAGUUAGCUAGCUAGCGAUGACACUGAAGCUGAUUUUGCUUAAGAAGACAGAUCUGCCAGUUGUGAUUCGUUCCUCCAUUCAUUUGAAGAGAAUAGCCAACUGUAGCACGGCAGCAAUACGGAGUUCUAUUCCAAAACUAGUAAGCUAACUUCCUCAAAGGCAUGCAAAAACCUAGCAAACACCACUAAGAGUCCAGCUGACACUGAUAGAAAAUUGCCAACACACUAACUGGUGUCUUUUGGCAGUAUAGCUGGCAAUGUCUUGCCUGGGAAAGCUUUUCUUCCAUUUUUGCAGGGGGUUCCAGCCUCUUACACAUAGGGCAUAUCUUGGAUGGCUAGUGGGGAAGACACAGGUGUUUAUCUGUCCUUCUCAUGACCAUAUGCUAUCAAAAUGAAUUUGAGGAUGGUACCAAAACUAGUUGCCUAUAAAACCAUACCUCAAAAAGUGUCAAAUUGUUGCAUAGUGUUACUUUAAGCUUUAGUAGAAUUCUGCUGGUUUUUCUUGCAUUAUCACCCACAAGUUUCAUGAUAUCGACACCAUUGUAGAAUUCACAGAUCCGCCUUAAUGCUUAAUGCCGCUUACUUUCCUAUUGGAAAUGAAUGGGCUAUAUCAGGGGUGGCUAACCAGUCCAGCUCAAAGAGCCACAACAAAACCCAACACCAUUUCGAAGAGCCAUCCAGACCAUCAAUGGCAUGAAAUGGUUCAAAAUAACAUAAGAGUCGAAGAGAAGAGAAUAUUAAUUGUAUUUAAUAAAUGAUCAUGUUUUCAAAAUACAGGAGGGCAAGGUGGCGGUAAAAUAACUGUAACAACCCACACACACACACACACACACACACACACACAAUGAGAUUGUUUUGAGAAUAAAAAGAUAAAGUAUUAACCCACACGGGUAAAGUGCUUAAAGAUUAACUAAUAAAUGUUCAAACUAUAAACAAAAAGCGCAGUGUGCCAGCAAGGCACAACGCGGAGCUGCCCAGUGACUGCCAGAGAGAGUGGACGGGAAGAGAGUGGACGGGAAGAGUGUGGACGAGAGACCGGCCCAACCCAUAAUCAGUGUUCACAGCACCAGCAUGACAUGGCCUAUAGGGGAGACAGAUAGACAAUAGCGCCGUAGCGCAAAACCAGCUAUGCUAAUAGCGUAACACACACAACUAACAAGGUGCCAACAUCACAACAACAACAUUAACAACAGUGACUCACGGGCCUAGUGACUUCAUAAAGAGCCUAACUAACAGUUUCAUUGCUAUUUUCUUACCUGAAUAUUCCUAUAAUAUUCACAAUCUCAAGCAGGUCUGCUAACGUGGUCGAUGUUCAGUUUUUUAGACACCAGGUGCUCUUGGUGAAUGAUACAGUGAAAUGGAAAACAAUUAUCACUUUUGCACAGCCCUAUGAGGCCAUUUGCAGCCCCCAACAUAGCCGGUGCGCCGUCUGUAGUUAUUGCGGGCAGUUUUGAGAGAGACAAUAUCGCUCUUUGCAAACGCAAUCAAAUAAGACUGAGAAAUUGUCUAUGGAUUUAAAAUGGUUUUAACAUUGAACCAGACAUGGGUAUGUAUAGAUUGCUAGCAGCGAGCCAAAGAAAGCAAUGCUAAUGUAGAUUAUAUUUAGACUUGCAGUGCUUGCCAGUUAUGAAACAUUACUGAUGAGAGUUUGGUAACUUCCUUGCACUUUCCCUGCUGACAAAGUGUUUUGCCGUCAGAGAACGCUAACUUCUUUCUAUAUAAAUCUUCUGUGUUGUGUUUAAUUUAGCCUGUUUUGUCUGCUGC